Molecule: ribosomal RNA, 489 nt
Filed under: uncultured bacterium
Lineage: Bacteria
Description: partial 16S ribosomal RNA
Rfam family: Bacterial small subunit ribosomal RNA
Source: RNAcentral
UUGCACGCUGGCGGCAGGCCUAACCCAUGCAAGUCGAACGGUAACAGGAAGCAGCUUGCUGCUUUGCUGACGAGUGGCGGACGGGUGAGUAAUGUCUGGGAAACUGCCCGGUGGAGGGGGAUAACUACUGGAAACGGUAGCUAAUACCGCAUAACGUCGCAAGACCAAAGAGGGGGACCUUAGGGCCUCUUGCCAUCGGAUGUGCCCAGAUGGGAUUAGCUAGUAGGUGGGGUAACGGCUCACCUAGGCGACGAUCCCUAGCUGGUCUGAGAGGAUGACCAGCCACACUGGAACUGAGACACGGUCCAGACUCCUACGGGAGGCAGCAGUGGGGAAUAUUGCACAAUGGGCGCAAGCCUGAUGCAGCCAUGCCGCGUGUAUGAAGAAGGCCUUCGGGUUGUAAAGUACUUUCAGCGGGGAGGAAGGGAGUAAAGUUAAUACCUUUGCUCAUUGACGUUACCCGCAGAAGAAGCACCGGCUAACUCCGUG